CGAGUUUGAUCAUGGCUCAGAUUGAACGCUGGCGGAAUGCUUUACACAUGCAAGUCGAACGGUAGAGGGGGCAACCCCUUGAGAGUGGGCGAACGGGUGAGUAAUAUAUCGGAACGUGCCCGGUCGUGGGGGAUAACGUAGCGAAAGCUACGCUAAUACCGCAUACGAUCUACGGAUGAAAGCGGGGGAUCGCAAGACCUCGCGCGAUUGGAGCGGCCGAUAUCAGAUUAGGUAGUUGGUGAGGUAAAGGCUCACCAAGCCGACGAUCUGUAGCUGGUCUGAGAGGACGACCAGCCACACUGGGACUGAGACACGGCCCAGACUCCUACGGGAGGCAGCAGUGGGGAAUUUUGGACAAUGGGCGCAAGCCUGAUCCAGCAAUGCCGCGUGCAGGAUGAAGGCCUUCGGGUUGUAAACUGCUUUGUACGGAACGAAACGGUGAGCUCUAAUACAGUUUGCUAAUGACGGUACCGUAAGAAUAAGCACCGGCUAACUACGUG
Molecule: ribosomal RNA, 500 nt
Filed under: uncultured bacterium
Lineage: Bacteria
Description: bacterial SSU rRNA
Rfam family: Bacterial small subunit ribosomal RNA
Source: RNAcentral